Molecule: ribosomal RNA, 465 nt
Filed under: Vreelandella stevensii
Lineage: Bacteria; Pseudomonadati; Pseudomonadota; Gammaproteobacteria; Oceanospirillales; Halomonadaceae
Description: partial 16S ribosomal RNA
Rfam family: Bacterial small subunit ribosomal RNA
Source: RNAcentral
CCUACGGGGGGCAGCAGUGGGGAAUAUUGGACAAUGGGGGCAACCCUGAUCCAGCCAUGCCGCGUGUGUGAAGAAGGCCCUCGGGUUGUAAAGCACUUUCAGUGACGAAGAACGCCUGGUGGUUAAUACCCAUCAGGAAAGACAUCACUCACAGAAGAAGCACCGGCUAACUCCGUGCCAGCAGCCGCGGUAAUACGGAGGGUGCGAGCGUUAAUCGGAAUUACUGGGCGUAAAGCGCGCGUAGGUGGCUUGAUAAGCCGGUUGUGAAAGCCCCGGGCUCAACCUGGGAACGGCAUCCGGAACUGUCAAGCUAGAGUGCAGGAGAGGAAGGUAGAAUUCCCGGUGUAGCGGUGAAAUGCGUAGAGAUCGGGAGGAAUACCAGUGGCGAAGGCGGCCUUCUGGACUGACACUGACACUGAGGUGCGAAAGCGUGGGUAGCAAACAGGAUUAGAUACCCCAGUAGUC